This 245-nucleotide unclassified non-coding RNA is filed under the name Hevea brasiliensis (rubber tree). Lineage: Eukaryota; Viridiplantae; Streptophyta; Magnoliopsida; Malpighiales; Euphorbiaceae. The record is from RNAcentral.
AAAGCUACAAGCGCGAAGUGUUUGUAGAUGUUGCAGGUGAAGUUGAUCGAAGAAUUGCAUUUGGUCAGCUGAAAAGAUUUGCAUGGAGGGAACUACAGCUAGCCACAGACAACUUUAGCGAGAAAAAUGUUUUAGGACAAGGAGGCUUUGGAAAGGUGUACAAAGGGGUGCUUGCAGAUGGCACCAAAGUUGCUGUGAAACGGUUGACUGAUUAUGAAAGUCCGGGGGGAGAUGCUGCUUUUCAG